Molecule: long non-coding RNA, 5665 nt
Organism: Balaenoptera acutorostrata (minke whale)
Lineage: Eukaryota; Metazoa; Chordata; Mammalia; Artiodactyla; Balaenopteridae
Exons: 6
Source: RefSeq, a predicted model, not a curated record
CUGCAGUGAGAGGUCUGUGACCCUCACCCGCCCAUGCCGGCACUAUGAUCUUGGACUUCCAGCCUCCAGAACUAUCCAGCUACCAAUUUACAGGAAAUGCAGAAGACAGAGGAAGUAUGUUAAAUGACACCAACAAAAUCCAAACUGUGGAACCCUCUACACAAUAAAGGACCUGGCUUCAUUAACAGAUACAUCGCAAGAGUCAAAAAGGAGACCAUCCACAUAAAAAUUCUGAUUUUGUAUUCUUUUGGAAAAAUGGAAAUACCUGGUAACACUAGCCCAGACCUCCACCGUGUAACGACCAGCCGAAUUGAGAAGUGUUACACGAAGGUGCAGUCCAGGGAACCACAGACCCCACCACUCCCUGGUGCCCUUAAAGCCCACUUCCUGUAUCUAUGCUCCAGCCUCAGCAUCAGCCUCUGGUUUGCAACCCAAAGGAACUUUCCUUUCCUUCCUUCUGGGCCUUCACUCUCCUCCACUGGGCCCAGCCAUCACGGGUCAGGUCGGGCUGGGCCAAAGUGGGUGCUUGACUUUCCCCUCCUUUUCAUGAUGUUUUUCCUCCCAAAUCUUUUUUCUGUGCUCUGAAACCUUUUUGGUCCCCCAAGAGUGGAAGAUUUUGAAACUCAAAAGCCAGAAGGAGACACUUCUUCCUCCUCCAUCCCCUCCGGGGCAGUGCUUCAUAUCACAUCCCUUCCCUGAGGGAGUGAGAAAGAACAACCUGAGGCUUUAAAAGGGGAAACAGCAGAACAGGAUGGGAAGGAAACCAGGGGGGAAAUUUGGUUAAGCAGGAGAUAUGGGUCUUAGACAUAUCAGAUUGGCAAAUAUUAAAAAGUUGGAUGAUAUCAAGUGCCACCAAAGGUGGAGGAAAGCAGAAUAUCUCAUAGGAAUGUUAACUAAUCUUUCUGGGAAGCAGAUUGAAAGUGUUAAGUGAAAUGGAAUAUGGGCCAGUCCUACAACCCAGUACUUGGGGACGCUGAGCCCAGAGACGUUCUUGCCCAGGCCCCCAAAGAAACGUGUGGAUUUGUUCUCGUAGAAUUGUUUGUAAUAAUGAAGAUUUGGAAACACCUAGAAGUUUAUUCAUAGUAAAGUAGAUAAAUAAAAGGUUAUAUGAAAAUGCUGAGUACCAUUCAGCAGAUGAAAGGAAUGCUCUGGUCCAUAUUUACUUAUAUUAACUUGGAGCCAUCUCAAAAAUCUUAUAGUCUUGACUAGAAAAAAGUGAUAAAAGAAUGACAUGUUUACCAAAGACUACUUAAGCAUAUUUUAAAAAAUAUGCACAAAAUAAUACCAAUAUUGGGCCUAGAUGCAAAUAGAAAUAUAGAUUGGCCAGACACAAAGAAUCACAAGGACGUAAGAGGAGAAAAAUGAGAUUGGGGAUGGGGUGAAGGGGUCAAAAAAAUAAAGUAAAAUAAAAGUGAGCCCUGCAUAUGCUAAUAAAGAUGGCGUGCAUGUGGCUAAUUGAUCCUGAGCAAAGGAGGUCUCAGCAAACAGAAAACUGAAGCAAAAGAAAACAUCAGUUAAUGUUUAAAAUAUUAACCUGAUGCCUGUGGAAAGAGAACUCUGUGAAUAACCAGAUGUCUGAUGUGUGCCCAGAGGUGACAGAGCAGUUCUGCAGUCCCUGUGAUUCCCUCCCGCUGAUCUCCUGCUGGGGUCACUCCAUAGCUUGGCCUUGAGUUGCUUUUAUCCACAGACUUUCAGCCUCCUCCCAGCACCGCUGACUGCUCUCAGGAAACCUGUUGGAUCACGAGAUUUUCCCACAGAGAUCAUCACCCUGGGGUAUUUUCAACCUGUUAUUAGCCUCGAGUUCCUCCAGCAAAGUCAGGAUAUCCUGGGAACAAGUACUCCUCCAGCCCCUGAGCCCUCCUUUUUUAUGUGCCUUCAGUACCAAAAACUUUCUCAGACAGAGUGUUAUAUGAUGUCCAGCUUUUUUUGCUUGGGGUGUGGCGGACAGAGGUGAGCGGUUCUGGCCAGCAGCUCUGUUUCCAUUCGAAGCCCCACUCUUGGGGAGUGAGGGGGAGAAAGAGAGACGAUGAGUUAUUUGCUGUCUCCCGAAUCCAUCCUUCUCUCUCUUCCUCUUCCCCUCCGUCCUUUCCUUAGAAACAUAUAUUCAGUGCUGAGUGUGCACAAGGCACGUGGCAGCCCCCAUUGAAUCUGGCAUUGUCCCCUGCCCUCAAGGAGAGUCGAGUCUAGGGGGGAGCAAGCGGUGAGUGUGGUCAAGCAUGGUAGGGAUUUGUGAGGGACGAGGGAGCUUUGAGACCACAGAGGUGGGAAGCUUUAUCACAUGGGAGGCUUCUUGGAGGUGGUCCUCCUUGAGCUGAGUCUGAAAGGGUAAAUUAGAGGUAACAAGAAGGGGAAUAAUGGGGGAAAGGUAUUCUAUUGCAAUAGCUGGGAGGCAUGAAACAGCAGGACACAGAGGGAGCUGUCAGCAGUUCAUCAUGUCUGGAUUUGGGGCUCCGGAAGAACCUUGGGUGCUAGGACUUCGCUCGUGUUCUAGCUCCUCCCUGAAGCCUGCAGAACUGCCCCAGUCCUGCCAGAUCCCCCUCCUCUGAAAUCUUGGACCAACCUUUUAUAAUUGCAUGUUCCCCUACUGUUAUGGUGUGUGUGUGUGUGUGUGAGUGUGAAGGUUUUGUUUCCCAGUCUCAACUUAGAGAGGGGCCCACAAGCCCAGGGUUUCUCCCACCCAGUGCCUUGCAUCCAGCCUUCACUCCACCGAGGGGGUGGCUCACCCAGUUCCGAGUGGGUGUACUGUUCGGUGGGGAAGCAGACUGAGGUGGUGGGUAGCGGCACCAAAUCCCACAUAGUGCAUUGGGUUUUCAGUCUUAGCGGCUUCUGUAAAGGAUAUGCCUGACCGGGCUGUCAUCUGGGCCAAUGCCGAGGUGAAUGUCCUUCUCAGAGGGAGACCUGAAAGCCCUGGUAUUCAGCCUCUCAGAUGGUGCCCAGUGAGCCCCACCUCCUGGUUUUCAUGGUCUUGUGCAGUCUCCUCCCACAUUGUGUCAGGAUUGAUCGGUAUGACCAACAGAAUACAGCAGAUUGAUGGCAUAUGCCUUUGAGGCUAGCUCAGUAAAAGACACUAUGACUUCUGCAUUAGUUUCUGUCUUGGACUGCUCACUCUGGAAGAAGCCAGCUGCCAUGUUGUCAGGACACACAAGCAGCCCUAUCAGAGGUCCAUGUGGUACGGAACCGAGGCCUCCUGCCAACAGCCAUGAGAGGAGCCAUCUUGCAUGUGGACCCCCAGCUCCAGUCAAGCCUUCAGAUGACAGCAGCCCCGUUCAACAUCUUGAGACCUUGAGCCAGAACAACCCAGCUCAGGUGCUUCCCUUGAUGGGACCAAUAGCCCAGCAGCAGAUGCAGAACUCUCCUCUGAACUUUCCUUAUCUGCCUGGCACAGAGCAUGGAGAAUCAGCAGUCACCCGCCACCUCCACCCUCCAGCUGCUCUCCAGUCAGGGAGGCACCGACCUUGGGCACCAGGACAUUCCCAAAGAAAUUGUAUAAGAAUCCUAAGGCACAGAGAGGUUAAGCAAUUUGCUCAAGGUCACACAGCAAGUAGUAGCAGCGUAGGAAUUCGCACCUGGGCAGCCUGGCUGUGCAUUCUGUCCUGAGCUCAGCCAGGCACCUGCGGAGAGACCCUCACACUUCCCCGUCUGCCUACACCAGUGGUUCUCAACCAAGAGCAGUUUUGCCCCCCAAAGGACAUGUGGUGAUGUCUAGAGACAUUUUUGAUUGUUGUGACCAGAAGGCUGCUACUGGCACCUAGUAAGUAGAGGCCAAAGAUGGUGCUAAACGUUCUGAAAUGCACAGGAUCAGGCCUCACAACAAAGGGAUUACCUGGUCCAAAAGGUCAGUAAUGCCGAGGUUGAGAAACUGACCUGGGCCCAUCUCACAGCCUCCUUGAGGCUGAGGACCCUCCACCACACACACGUCCACACACACGAUCUGAUUUCUGUUACGGUGGUGGUCCAGGGUCCUGGGGGUGGGGGCAACAUGCGUCCUCACCUCAGCAUCUCUUAGAGGCCACAUCAGAACGUGAAAGACUCAGUUUGCACUGCAGCUACAAGUUUUUGGAAAUUAAGAAUUUUGAGGCACUGACAAAUGUAGCUGAUGUUAUUUUGUAUCAGGCUCUGUGCUAAGUAAGCAUUUCACAUAUUUUAUCUUAGGAAAUCUUCAUAAACCAGUCUUAGAUGCUAUUAUUAUCCCUAUUUCAAAGAUUGGGAAACUGAGGCUGAAAAAGGUUAAGGAACUCACCCAAGGUCACACAGCUAAUAGGUGACAGGGCCAGGUUUCCAGCUGACCCAGGCAGACUGAUGGCACAGAUGUACAUACCCAGGCAAAGUAAAGACAGCAAAUUAACAGGGAGAGCCCGCCUGAUGCCCACCCUGGGGCUGCCGGAGGUCAGGGGCUUGGUGCCCUCCCCUGGGACGGAGAGAUCAGCACCACUCACUCCACUGCACAGCUGCAACCAAGACUCUCCAAGCUGGGCAGAAAGCAGCUUGACCUGCCAGGGUUCUUAAAGAGGGAGGAGUGGAGAAGGCAGAGGUGGGUUGGUUUUGUACAGGGACAGUAAAGACAGAAAACCCUCCAGGAAGAGAUGGGUGAAGAAGGCAGGCUUGGGAGGUCUUUAUUAUUUACUAUAGCAGGGGAAAGUAUGGGAAGCUUGUUCCUAAGCCAUAAAUGCCCUCCUUUGAUCCCUGUGCAUAUCAGAGAUAAAUGAGUCACUUAGGCCUAAGGAAUUAAUGAUUGUUCUGAUUAUUACCUUAAGUGACCUUCCAGCAAUAGUAAUUCUCACCACUCCCUGCAAAGUAGCUGUGUCGGGGUUUGACCAGGGUUGGGGAAGAGGCCGGGACUGAAGUGGGGAGAGUUCCUUCGGUGAUUGGGCUCAGUUUGCAUACAGGAAAUCAGCCUCAGCUCUUCAGGCCAGAGAACAGUUAGACUCAGACCCCAACUUCUGGGCUCUGCCUUCUUCUUUGCCUUCAGGGCCCUGUUGAAUCCUGACCCCACUGAGAGGGUUGGACCAGAAGUGUGUGCAGAGCUACAGGGCCAUCUGAAAGCAAGAGGUCGUUUGGUGCAAAGUUAACAUGACCUUCCGCAGGCCCCUUCCCAUUCAGAUUCAAGGAAGAGCUUUGAAGUUUCCUUUGUGUGCAUGUUUUCAUAGCCCUGAUCCUGCUGUACUGGAAUUAGCCUGCAGCCCUGCCCAUCCCUGGAGAUUUAUUCCCCAACUACAAAAAUCUUAGAAAAAUACUGCAAGCUCCACCCACCAUCCCCAAGCCACUGGCUGCUUUUUCCUCAGGCUAAAAUACAAAGGAGACCUCAGAACCGCCACCAGGAGACAUUUUGUACGUGUUUAUAGUUUCUCUAGAGUCAUUCCGAUGACCCCCUAGAACCGGAUCUCAGGGCAAAAGCUUCCAAGAUGUGCGUGCUGGGAGGUGGGGCGAACGUGGUAAGAGGAAGGGUGAGAGAACAGAUUGUCCCUGAAGCUGCCAAGGGCCAGGGCAGUACCAGCAGGGUCCAAAGAGAAGAAAAAGCAGGUGGACUGAGCCUUUCCAGUCGUACCCCAUGAGCCAACCACUGCACUUUGUGUAGACAAACAUCAGUCUCAGGAAUCUUUGUUGCUCUGAGCGUCACAAAAGGGCCUCUGCUAUCAUAUUGCCCAACGCCACCAGGAGCUCUGUA